Molecule: non-coding RNA, 476 nt
Organism: Syngnathoides biaculeatus (alligator pipefish)
Lineage: Eukaryota; Metazoa; Chordata; Actinopteri; Syngnathiformes; Syngnathidae
Source: the annotation of a RefSeq genome assembly
GCAGCUUUAUUUGCAUGAGCUUCUGCGCUCCGCCGCUCCGGCGCUUGUUCAUAAGUCCCCACGAAUCUUUUCACACAAACUCCACUUGGAAACCGAGUCAGGAUGUGGUCGCCCGCACUCGCGCUCGUCCUUUGGACUCUGCUGAUUCCGGGAUCUUCUGCCGAUGAUUUUCUGAGGCAGACUGACAGAUUCAAGCCCGUCUCUCUUGGCGGGACGGUGAGCAUCGGUGCCACAGGGAGUUCAAAUAUCGGUGGCGAUCUCAGUUGGUACCAAGUGAAACCCGGGCAGGCUCCCAAACUGCUCAUCUCCUAUGUAUCCAGUCGCUUCUCUGGCACGCCAUCUCGAUUCAGCGGCGCGCAAUCUGGCUCGGACUACACCCUGACCAUCAAUGGUGUCCAGGCAGAAGACGUGGCCGAGUACUACUGCCUCGGGUUUCACGGCAGCGGAAGGUACACACGGUGAUUCGGAGGCGUACA